RNAcentral lists this ribosomal RNA (451 nucleotides) under uncultured bacterium. Its description in RNAcentral is "SSU rRNA". It matches the Rfam family "Bacterial small subunit ribosomal RNA", at positions 26 to 518 of the family's 1533-position model. The record is from RNAcentral.
AGGAUGAACGCUGGCGGUCUGCUUAACACAUGCAAGUCGAACGGAGUAGCAAUACUUAGUGGCGGACGGGUGAGUAACGCGUGAGAAUCUACCUUCAGGACGGAGACAACAGUUGGAAACGACUGCUAACCCCCGAUGUACCGAAAGGGCAAAUAUUUAUAGCCUGAAGAAGAGCUCGCGUCCGAUUAGCUAGUUGGAGAGGUAAAAGCUCACCAAGGCGACGAUCGGUAGCUGGUCUGAGAGGACGAUCAGCCACACUGGGACUGAGACACGGCCCAGACUCCUACGGGAGGCAGCAGGUGGGGAAUUUCCGCAAUGGGCGAAAGCCUGACGGAGCAAGACCGCGGUGGGGAAGAAGGCUCGUUGGGUUCGUUAAACCCCUUUUCUCGUGGGAAGACGCAAUGACGGUACCAGAGGAAUCAGCAUCGGCUAACUCCGUGCCAGCAGCCGC